This is a long non-coding RNA of Lathyrus oleraceus (garden pea), 1186 nucleotides long. RefSeq lists it as uncharacterized. Lineage: Eukaryota; Viridiplantae; Streptophyta; Magnoliopsida; Fabales; Fabaceae. The transcript has 2 exons. The record is from RefSeq and is a predicted model, not a curated record.
UCCAUUUGCUCACUCUCAUUCUCUCUCUUCGCUUCUAAAGCAAAGUUGCUCUGCAACUUCUUCCUCUUCUCCGUCACUCUCCUCACGGCCAAACCUGUCGGAGAAGACGGUGGCGGCCGGCCAACCGCGGCGGCGCCACCCUCUUCUCCGGUGACUCUCCACCCAAAUCCUAAAAAUCCAAACGUAUACCCCACCUCAUUUUGGCCGGAGGUUCCGGCCUCAGUCUUUUCAAAAUCCGCUUCAAUCAACCGGACCGGCGUGACGAACAAAAAGCGAAUGGGUUUCAAGCAAGGAAAUGAGGGAAAGGAAUUACUUGGCUUGCGUCGCCGGUGAUGACGAGUUCCUCCACCGUGCUUCAGAUAAGUUUCUUUCUCUUUCUUAAUGCACUUCGCCUCCCUCUAUUCUUUCUUCUUCUUUUUUGUUUUGAAUGUUGUUGUUGCCUUAUUCGAAUGUUAGGGUUUUCAACAAAUUAUUUCUGUUUUCUUCUCCUUCGAUUCUCCUGUUAGAUGGUGUUUUUGUUUUUUAGGGUUUGGUGUUAAUAGAAAAUAUUUGUGAUCACUCCCUCCUGGAUUCUCAAAGCCGUGUUCUUUGUUUUGUUGUUUAGGGUUUGAGGUUAACAGAAAAAAUAUUUUGAUUGUUUUCUCUUGGAUUUUCCAAAAACGUUCAUGUUACUGUUAAUUUGUUGUUGUUAUAUAUGAUGAAUGCUUAGGUUCUGAGAUAACUUGUUAAGUUAUCUUUUUUCCAGAUUUUAUGGGAUGUUUACUCUGUGGAUUUAGAGUUGUUUAGAUUGGAUAUUGGAACGCAUCAUUGGGCGUUCACUUUGGUUCACUGUGCAAAAUAUCAGUUCAUUUCAUCAAUUGUUUUUCAGUUUUUCAUAAGUGCUUAUUUGAUAAGCCCUUCUUAAUCUUCUGAAUUGAUUUUGCAGGUUUUUACAAAAGUGAAGUGAUGUUGAUUGAAAAGAGGCUUGCGCCUGUUUUGGAGGUGGGAAUUGGGGCGUUGCAUCUUCAAACUCUUGGCUUUGGAAAUGUCCUUGAAAAGUUGUUGUUCAACCUGUUGGAUUUACAAUGUUUUCUACCUUUUUUCAAAUUCAUUUUGGUGUAACGGAACUUUUGGAUAAAGUGCAUUUGGAUUAUGUAUUGGUUGUUUGUAACAUGUACAUUUUUAAUUUGAGACCACUUUUGGAUAA